GCAUGAUUUUACAGAUUUGCGUUGAGUAGCCAAAAAGCGGGAGAAUUAAAAAAAAGUAGUACUUGACAUAACUACUAAGAUAAGAUAACACUGAUAAUUCAUGAGGGAGGUGUUCUCUCAUUUGAUCCUAGAGGCUGAGGGAGGUGUUCUCUCAUUUGAUCCUAGAGGCUGAGGAAGGUGUUCUCUCACUUGAUCCUAGAGGCUGAGGGAGGUGUUCUCUCAUUUGAUCCUAGAGGAUGAGGGAGGUGUUCUCUCACUUGAUCCUAGAGGCUGAGGGAGGUGUUCUCUCACUUGAUCCUAGAGGCUGAGGGAGGUGUUCUCU
Molecule: long non-coding RNA, 322 nt
Filed under: Salmo salar (Atlantic salmon)
Lineage: Eukaryota; Metazoa; Chordata; Actinopteri; Salmoniformes; Salmonidae
Description: lncRNA (ENSSSAG00000101689.1)
Source: RNAcentral